UCGAGAAUUUUUCACAAUGGGGGAAACCCUGAUGGAGCGACGCCGCGUGGAGGACGAAGGUCUUCGGAUUGUAAACUCCUGUCAUGCGGGAACAAGAAAGUGAUAGUACUGCAAGAGGAAGAGACGGCUAACUCUGUGCCAGCAGCCGCGGUAAUACAGAGGUCUCAAGCGUUGUUCGGAUUCAUUGGGCGUAAAGGGUGCGUAGGUGGCGUGGAAAGUUGAGUGUGAAAUCCUAGGGCUUAACCUUAG
RNAcentral lists this ribosomal RNA (249 nucleotides) under uncultured Candidatus Xiphinematobacter sp. RNAcentral describes it as "partial 16S ribosomal RNA". It matches the Rfam family "Bacterial small subunit ribosomal RNA", at positions 355 to 618 of the family's 1533-position model. Lineage: Bacteria; Pseudomonadati; Verrucomicrobiota; Spartobacteria. The record is from RNAcentral.